Molecule: ribosomal RNA, 347 nt
Filed under: uncultured bacterium
Lineage: Bacteria
Description: partial 16S ribosomal RNA
Rfam family: Bacterial small subunit ribosomal RNA
Source: RNAcentral
CCUACGGGUGGCAGCAGUCGAGAAUCAUUCACAAUGGGGGAAACCCUGAUGGUGCGACGCCGCGUGGGGGAAUGAAGGUCUUCGGAUUGUAAACCCCUGUCAUGUGGGAGCAAAUUAAACAUAUAGUACCACAAGAGGACGAGACGGCUAACUCUGGGCCAGCAGCCGCGGUACUACCGAGGUCUCAAGCGUUGUUCGGAAUCACUGGGCGUAAAGCGAGCGUAGACGGUUUCGUAAGUCGUGUGUGAAACGCGCGGGAUUAACCCGCGGACUGCACAGGAUACUGCGAGGCUAGAGUGAGGGAGGGGGAAGCGGAAUUCUCGGUGUAGCAGUGAAAUGCGUAGAUA